RNAcentral lists this ribosomal RNA (253 nucleotides) under uncultured bacterium. RNAcentral's name for it is "partial 16S ribosomal RNA". It matches the Rfam family "Bacterial small subunit ribosomal RNA", at positions 524 to 776 of the family's 1533-position model. The record is from RNAcentral.
GACGUAGGGCGCAAGCGUUGUCCGGAUUUAUUGGGCGUAAAGAGCUCGUAGGCGGCUUGUCGCGUCGACUGUGAAAACCCGCAGCUUAACUGCGGGACUGCAGUCGAUACGGGCAGGCUAGAGUUCGGUAGGGGAGACUGGAAUUCCUGGUGUAGCGGUGAAAUGCGCAGAUAUCAGGAAGAACACCGAUGGCGAAGGCAGUUCUCUGGGACGUUACUGACGCUGAGACGCGAAAGCGUGGGGAGCAAACAGG